Molecule: ribosomal RNA, 1393 nt
Filed under: Campylobacter coli
Lineage: Bacteria; Pseudomonadati; Campylobacterota; Epsilonproteobacteria; Campylobacterales; Campylobacteraceae
Description: partial 23S ribosomal RNA
Rfam family: Bacterial large subunit ribosomal RNA
Source: RNAcentral
AGAGGGGAACAACCCAGACUACCAGCUAAGGUCCCUAAAUCUUAUUUGAGUGGAAAACGAUGUGAAGUUACUUUAACAACCAGGAGGUUGGCUUAGAAGCAGCCAUCCUUUAAAGAAAGCGUAAUAGCUCACUGGUCUAGUGAUUUUGCGCGGAAAAUAUAACGGGGCUAAAAUAAGUACCGAAGCUGUAGACCCAAGCCUAGCUUGGGUGGUAGGAGAGCGUUCUAUAGGCGUUGAAGAUGUACCGGUAAGGAGCGUUGGAGCGUAUAGAAGUGAGCAUGCAGGCAUGAGUAGCGAUAAUUAAUGUGAGAAUCAUUAACGCCGUAAACCCAAGGUUUCCUACGCGAUGCUCGUCAUCGUAGGGUUAGUCGGGUCCUAAGCAAAGUCCGAAAGGGGUAUGCGAUGGAAAAUUGGUUAAUAUUCCAAUACCAACAUUAUUGUGCGAUGGAAGGACGCUUAGGGCUAAGCAAGCUAGCGGAUGGAAGUGCUAGUCUAAGGUAGUAGGUUGUUAUACAGGCAAAUCCGUAUAACAUUAGACCGAGAACUGAAAGGCUUUCUGAAGUCUUCGGAUGGAAGGAAGAAUUGCUGAUGCCGUCGAGCCAAGAAAAGUUUCUAAGUUUAGAUAAUGUUGCCCGUACCGUAAACCGACACAGGUGGGUGGGAUGAGUAUUCUAAGGCGCGUGGAAGAACUCUCUUUAAGGAACUCUGCAAAAUAGCACCGUAUCUUCGGUAUAAGGUGUGGUUAGCCUUGUAUUAGGAUUUACUCCGAAAGCAAGGAAACUUACAACAAAGAGUCCCUCCCGACUGUUUACCAAAAACACAGCACUCUGCUAACACGUAAGUGGAUGUAUAGGGUGUGACGCCUGCCCGGUGCUCGAAGGUUAAUUGAUGGGGUCAGCAGCAAUGCGAAGCUCUUGAUCGAAGCCCGAGUAAACGGCGGCCGUAACUAUAACGGUCCUAAGGUAGCGAAAUUCCUUGUCGGUUAAAUACCGACCUGCAUGAAUGGCGUAACGAGAUGGGAGCUGUCUCAAAGAGGGAUCCAGUGAAAUUGUAGUGGAGGUGAAAAUUCCUCCUACCCGCGGCAAGACGGAAAGACCCCGUGGACCUUUACUACAGCUUGACACUGCUACUUGGAUAAGAAUGUGCAGGAUAGGUGGGAGGCUUUGAGUUAUAGACGCCAGUUUAUAAUGAGCCAUCGUUGAGAUACCACUCUUUCUUAUUCGGGUAGCUAACUAGCGUGAGUUAUCCUCACGUAGGACAAUGUCUGGUGGGUAGUUUGACUGGGGCGGUCGCCUCCCAAAAAAUAACGGAGGCUUACAAAGGUUGGUUCAAAACGGUUGGAAAUCGUUUGUAGAGUAUAAAGGCAUAAACCAGCUUAACUGCAAGACAAACA